AGAGAGAGACAUGCGCGCAUAUCAAUAAGCGGAGGAAAAGAAACUAACUAGGAUUCCCUCAGUAACGGCGAGUGAAGCGGGAAGAGCUCAAAUUUGAAAUCUUCAAGGGUUCUACCUUUACGAAUUGUAGUUUAAAGAAGUGUUUUCUGUUGGAGUUUCGGUAAAAGUUCUUUGGAAUAGGACAUCAUAGAGGGUGAGAAUCCCGUAUUUGACCAUUAUUUCCAGCUUUGUGAUACACUUUCAAAGAGUCGGAUUGUUUGGGAAUGCAGUCCAAAAUGGGUGGUAAAUUUCAUCUAAAGCUAAAUACUUGGCGAGAGACCGAUAGCGAACAAGUACCGUGAGGGAAAGAUGAAAAGAACUUUGAAAAGAGAGUUAAACAGUACGUGAAAUUGUCAAAAGGGAAGCGUUUGACACCAGUGUUGUUUUCUCGAAAAUCAAUUAAAAAAAGGCAGGAUUUUGUGUUGUAUUGACUUUAUCAGCUUUCUGCACUCUUUUCUUGUCUUUUUUAAUGCACUUUUCGUUUAACAAGUCAACAUCAAUUUCUUUUGUUGUAAAAGGGUCAUUGGAAGGUGGCUUUUCUUUUCGGAGAAAGUGUUUAUAGCCUUUGGCCUCUGCAAUCGGAGAGAUUGAGGUCUGCAGCGUAGAUCCUUCGGGGUUAGAUACAUUUGUGCUAAGUUAUAGCCUUUCAUAGACAACUUGUUGACUAUGAUCAGUCAUGUAGCUUACUCGCUUAUGCUAUUUUACCUACGCUUAGGAUGUUGAUGUGAUACUGCGAGCA
Molecule: ribosomal RNA, 778 nt
Filed under: uncultured Neocallimastigales
Lineage: Eukaryota; Fungi; Neocallimastigomycota; Neocallimastigomycetes; Neocallimastigales
Description: partial large subunit ribosomal RNA
Rfam family: Eukaryotic large subunit ribosomal RNA
Source: RNAcentral